This 460-nucleotide ribosomal RNA is filed under the name uncultured bacterium. RNAcentral describes it as "partial 16S ribosomal RNA". It matches the Rfam family "Bacterial small subunit ribosomal RNA", at positions 338 to 795 of the family's 1533-position model. The record is from RNAcentral.
CCUACGGGUGGCAGCAGUGAGGAAUAUUGGUCAAUGGACGAGAGUCUGAACCAGCCAAGUAGCGUGAAGGAUGACUGCCCUAUGGGUUGUAAACUUCUUUUAUAUGGGAAUAAAAUGUUCCACGUGUGGGAUUUUGUAUGUACCAUAUGAAUAAGGAUCGGCUAACUCCGUGCCAGCAGCCGCGGUAAUACGGAGGAUCCGAGCGUUAUCCGGAUUUAUUGGGUUUAAAGGGAGCGUAGGUGGAUUGUUAAGUCAGUUGUGAAAGUUUGCGGCCCAACCGUAAAAUUGCAGUUGAAACUGGCAGUCUUGAGUACAGUAGAGGUGGGCGGAAUUCGUGGUGUAGCGGUGAAAUGCUUAGAUAUCACGAAGAACUCCGAUUGCGAAGGCAGUUCACUGGACUGCAACUGACACUGAGGCUCGAAAGUGUGGGUAUCAAACAGGAUUAGAUACCCUUGUAGUC